ACGAUCAGUAGGGGUUCUGAGAGGAAGGUCCCCCCACAUUGGAACUGAGACACGGUCCAAACUCCUACGGGAGGCAGCAGUGAGGAAUAUUGGUCAAUGGACGAGAGUCUGAACCAGCCAAGUAGCGUGCAGGAUGACGGCCCUAUGGGUUGUAAACUGCUUUUAUAGGGGGAUAAAGUGUGUCACGUGUGGCAUAUUGCAGGUACCCUAUGAAUAAGGACCGGCUAAUUCCGUGCCAGCAGCCGCGGUAAUACGGAAGGUCCAGGCGUUAUCCGGAUUUAUUGGGUUUAAAGGGAGCGUAGGCCGUUUGGUAAGCGUGUUGUGAAAUGUCGGGGCUCAACCUGGGCAUUGCAGCGCGAACUGCCAGACUUGAGUGCGCAGGAAGUAGGCGGAAUUCGUCGUGUAGCGGUGAAAUGCUUAGAUAUGACGAAGAACUCCGAUUGCGAAGGCAGCCUGCUGUAGCGCAACUGACGCUGAAGCUCGAAAGCGUGGGUAUCGAACAGGAUUAGAUACCCUGGUAGUCCACGCGGUAAACGAUGGAUGCUCGCUGUUUGCGUCUGACGUAAGCGGCCAAGCGAAAGCGUUAAGCAUCCCACCUGGGGAGUA
Molecule: ribosomal RNA, 606 nt
Filed under: uncultured bacterium
Lineage: Bacteria
Description: bacterial SSU rRNA
Rfam family: Bacterial small subunit ribosomal RNA
Source: RNAcentral